Molecule: transfer RNA, 90 nt
Filed under: Promethearchaeota archaeon
Lineage: Archaea; Promethearchaeati; Promethearchaeota
Description: Candidatus Lokiarchaeota archaeon tRNA-Gln
Rfam family: tRNA
About the family: Transfer RNA (tRNA) molecules are approximately 80 nucleotides in length. Their secondary structure includes four short double-helical elements and three loops (D, anti-codon, and T loops).
Source: RNAcentral
GCUUCUGUAGUGUAGUCCGGUCAAACUCAAGCGUGAGCAAUUUUGACUCUCACCCUCGCGACCCGGGUUCAAAUCCCGGCAGAAGCACCA